GGGUUGUGAGGUUAAGCGACUAAGCGUACACGGUGGAUGCCUAGGCAGUCAGAGGCGAUGAAGGGCGUGCUAAUCUGCGAAAAGCGUCGGUAAGGUGAUAUGAACCGUUAUAACCGACGAUACCCGAAUGGGGAAACCCAGUGCAAUUCGUUGCACUAUUGCAUGGUGAAUACAUAGCCAUGCAAGGCGAACCGGGGGAACUGAAACAUCUAAGUACCCCGAGGAAAAGAAAUCAACCGAGAUUCCCCCAGUAGCGGCGAGCGAACGGGGAGGAGCCCAGAACCUGAAUCAGCAUAUGUGUUAGUGGAAGCGUCUGGAAAGUCGCACGGUACAGGGUGAUAGUCCCGUACACAAAAAUGCAUAUGUUGUGAGUUCGAUGAGUAGGGCGGGACACGUGACAUCCUGUCUGAAUAUGGGGGGACCAUCCUCCAAGGCUAAAUACUCCUGACUGACCGAUAGUGAACCAGUACCGUGAGGGAAAGGCGAAAAGAACCCCGGCGAGGGGAGUGAAAUAGAACCUGAAACCGUGUACGUACAAGCAGUGGGAGCACCUUCGUGGUGUGACUGCGUACCUUUUGUAUAAUGGGUCAGCGACUUAUAUUUUGUAGCAAGGUUAACCGAAUAGGGGAGCCGUAGGGAAACCGAGUCUUAACUGGGCGAAUAGUUGCAAGGUAUAGACCCGAAACCCGGUGAUCUAGCCAUGGGCAGGUUGAAGGUUGGGUAACACUAACUGGAGGACCGAACCGACUAAUGUUGAAAAAUUAGCGGAUGACUUGUGGCUGGGGGUGAAAGGCCAAUCAAACCGGGAGAUAGCUGGUUCUCCCCGAAAGCUAUUUAGGUAGCGCCUCGUGAACUCAUCUUCGGGGGUAGAGCACUGUUUCGGCUAGGGGGUCAUCCCGACUUACCAAACCGAUGCAAACUCCGAAUACCGAAGAAUGUUAUCACGGGAGACACACGGCGGGUGCUAACGUCCGUCGUGAAGAGGGAAACAACCCAGACCGCCAGCUAAGGUCCCAAAGUCAUGGUUAAGUGGGAAACGAUGUGGGAAGGCAUAGACAGCCAGGAUGUUGGCUUAGAAGCAGCCAUCAUUUAAAGAAAGCGUAAUAGCUCACUGGUCGAGUCGGCCUGCGCGGAAGAUGUAACGGGGCUAAACCAUGCACCGAAGCUGCGGCAGCGACACUUAGGUGUUGUUGGGUAGGGGAGCGUUCUGUAAGCCGUUGAAGGUGACCUGUGAGGGUUGCUGGAGGUAUCAGAAGUGCGAAUGCUGACAUAAGUAACGAUAAUGCGGGUGAAAAACCCGCACGCCGGAAGACCAAGGGUUCCUGUCCAACGUUAAUCGGGGCAGGGUGAGUCGACCCCUAAGGCGAGGCUGAAAAGCGUAGUCGAUGGGAAACAGGUUAAUAUUCCUGUACUUGGUGUUACUGCGAAGGGGGGACGGAGAAGGCUAGGCUAGCCGGGCGACGGUUGUCCCGGUUUAAGCAUGUAGGCGGAGUGACUUGGUAAAUCCGGUUGCUUAUCAACGCUGAGGUGUGAUGACGAGUCACUACGGUGAUGAAGUAGUUGAUGCCAAGCUUCCAGGAAAAGCCUCUAAGCAUCAGGUAACAUUAAAUCGUACCCCAAACCGACACAGGUGGUCAGGUAGAGAAUACUCAGGCGCUUGAGAGAACUCGGGUGAAGGAACUAGGCAAAAUGGUGCCGUAACUUCGGGAGAAGGCACGCUGGCAUUAGGUAAAGAGACUUGCUCUCGGCGCCGAAGCCAGUCGCAGAUACCAGCUGGCUGCAACUGUUUAAUAAAAACACAGCACUGUGCAAACACGAAAGUGGACGUAUACGGUGUGACGCCUGCCCGGUGCUGGAAGGUUAAUUGAUGGGGUCAGCCGCAAGGCGAAGCUCUUGAUCGAAGCCCCAGUAAACGGCGGCCGUAACUAUAACGGUCCUAAGGUAGCGAAAUUCCUUGUCGGGUAAGUUCCGACCUGCACGAAUGGCGUAAUGAUGGCCAGGCUGUCUCCACCCGAGACUCAGUGAAAUUGAACUCGCUGUGAAGAUGCAGUGUACCCGCGGCAAGACGGAAAGACCCCGUGAACCUUUACUAUAGCUUGACACUGAACAUUGAGCCUUGAUGUGUAGGAUAGGUGGGAGGCAUUGAAGUGUGGACGCCAGUCUGCAUGGAGCCAACCUUGAAAUACCACCCUUUAAUGUUUGAUGUUCUAACUCGGCCCCGUGAUCCGGGGUGAGGACAGUGUCUGGUGGGUAGUUUGACUGGGGCGGUCUCCUCCCAAAGAGUAACGGAGGAGCACGAAGGUUAGCUAAUCACGGUCGGACAUCGUGAGGUUAGUGCAAAGGCAUAAGCUAGCUUGACUGCGAGAGUGACGGCUCGAGCAGGUACGAAAGUAGGUCUUAGUGAUCCGGUGGUUCUGAAUGGAAGGGCCAUCGCUCAACGGAUAAAAGGUACUCCGGGGAUAACAGGCUGAUACCGCCCAAGAGUUCAUAUCGACGGCGGUGUUUGGCACCUCGAUGUCGGCUCAUCACAUCCUGGGGCUGAAGUAGGUCCCAAGGGUAUGGCUGUUCGCCAUUUAAAGUGGUACGCGAGCUGGGUUUAGAACGUCGUGAGACAGUUCGGUCCCUAUCUGCCGUGGGCGUUGGAAGAUUGAGAGGGGCUGCUCCUAGUACGAGAGGACCGGAGUGGACGAAUCACUGGUGUUCGGGUUGUCAUGCCAAUGGCAUUGCCCGGUAGCUAAAUUCGGAAGAGAUAACCGCUGAAAGCAUCUAAGCGGGAAACUUGCCUCGAGAUGAGUCUUCCCUGGGGCUUUAAGCCCCCUGAAGGAACGUUAAAGACUAUGACGUUGAUAGGCUGGGUGUGUAAGUGCAGCGAUGCAUUGAGCUAACCAGUACUAAUGAUCCGUGAGGCUUAACCUUACAACACCGAAGGUGUUU
This 2934-nucleotide ribosomal RNA is filed under the name Yersinia enterocolitica. RNAcentral describes it as "bacterial LSU rRNA". It matches the Rfam family "Bacterial large subunit ribosomal RNA". The record is from RNAcentral. Lineage: Bacteria; Pseudomonadati; Pseudomonadota; Gammaproteobacteria; Enterobacterales; Yersiniaceae.